GGAGGCCUUGGCUUAAAAUUAAAGCGUUUGAGUUGCAGUCAGAANAUGUAUUAUUAUACAGGCCUUC
This 67-nucleotide transfer RNA is filed under the name Cyrtodactylus cavernicolus. Its description in RNAcentral is "tRNA-Ala". Lineage: Eukaryota; Metazoa; Chordata; Lepidosauria; Squamata; Gekkonidae. The record is from RNAcentral.